RNAcentral lists this ribosomal RNA (563 nucleotides) under uncultured bacterium. RNAcentral's name for it is "partial 16S ribosomal RNA". It matches the Rfam family "Bacterial small subunit ribosomal RNA", at positions 355 to 911 of the family's 1533-position model. The record is from RNAcentral.
UGGGGAAUUUUGGACAAUGGGGGAAACCCUGAUCCAGCCAUCCCGCGUGUGCGAUGAAGGCCUUCGGGUUGUAAAGCACUUUUGGCAGGAAAGAAACGUCGCGGGUUAAUACCCCGCGAAACUGACGGUACCUGCAGAAUAAGCACCGGCUAACUACGUGCCAGCAGCCGCGGUAAUACGUAGGGUGCAAGCGUUAAUCGGAAUUACUGGGCGUAAAGCGUGCGCAGGCGGUUCGGAAAGAAAGAUGUGAAAUCCCAGAGCCUAACUUUGGAACUGCAUUUUUAACUACCGGGCUAGAGUGUGUCAGAGGGAGGUGGAAUUCCGCGUGUAGCAGUGAAAUGCGUAGAUAUGCGGAGGAACACCGAUGGCGAAGGCAGCCUCCUGGGAUAACACUGACGCUCAUGCACGAAAGCGUGGGGAGCAAACAGGAUUAGAUACCCUGGUAGUCCACGCCCUAAACGAUGUCAACUAGCUGUUGGGGCCUUCGGGCCUUGGUAGCGCAGCUAACGCGUGAAGUUGACCGCCUGGGGAGUACGGUCGCAAGAUUAAAACUCAAAGGAAUU